AAGUCGUAACAAGGUCUCCGUAGGGGAACCUGCGGAGGGAUCAUUUCCAUUUAAACAAAGAAGAGUACCUUUAAAGUUUGAAUCUCUUUUCGGAGGGGUUUGGAUUGAAAAGGGAAAUUUGAAAAGUUGGUUGUGUUCCUUUAUUUCUUUGAAAAAACAAGGGGGUUUGAAUCUUUGGGGAAUAGCCAUCUUCAUUGGUGGUUUUUUCCCAAGGGUUUCUCUCUCUCUAUUUUUCAAUGUUAAACCAUGAUCAAAGUAUCCUUAACUUGAUGGCUUAUUUACUUUUUUGUAAAAGAAAAAGAUAAAAAAGAACAACUAUCAACGGCGGAUCUCUUGGUUCGU
Molecule: unclassified non-coding RNA, 342 nt
Filed under: fungal sp.
Lineage: Eukaryota; Fungi
Description: partial internal transcribed spacer region
Rfam family: Eukaryotic small subunit ribosomal RNA (bases 1-46)
Source: RNAcentral